AUGCUUGGGGCCCACACCUGCACUGGCUGGUCACCAAAGCCCGCUGCCCCCCCCCUCCCCCUACUUCCCCAAAGCACCAAAGCUAGGUCCCCGGGCAUUCCACACCUCUGCAUCUCAUCGGAGAUGAUGGGGGCGCGCGCCCCAUGAAGGUCUUAAGGUUUCCUCUUCGGUCCCUGUCUGCUGGUCUCUGUAGACGGUGACAUUAGAGGCUGGGGUCUCUGGGCGACUUCCAAGCCAUACCAUCUUCCUGAAGGUCACCUGUUGGACUUCCGCGGCAGGGCCUCCUGAACCCGCAGAGGGUCCCCUUCAGUCCUUCUUGGUGGAGACCCCAGCGGUCGGAGGCCGGAGAGCGGACAAGGUGGAAGUGUUGCGUGUGUCUCACCUCCCCGGGCCACACGCACACGUGCAGCAGGAGAAUCGGCGCCCCGGCUGACUGCGGAGGUGCGGGUGUGGCGCGGCGUGCGAGCCGUCCCUGCUCCCUCGGCGGGAACGCUGCCCCCUCGCGGCUGCAGGGACAGGUGCAACGGCACGGGAAGCCUCGAGGGUCCUCCCGUCGACCAGAGACCCGAAGGCGCCUCCGAGGUUCUUGCUCAUCACCACGGCCAGGCCCGUGGGGGCCCCCGCGGCAUCUCGCUUCGGCCAACGUCCGCCUCGACGCGAGCGCGCGGUGGGCAAUGGCUUGGGAACUAGCACCCUGAGGUGUGCUAGUCCCGUCCCACCGAGUAGAUCAGGCGGUCUUCUGUCUCCGUAAGUCCGUAUCUUUCGGGACCUUACGAGGGGCAGGGAAGAGGGAGACAGAGCCUGCAGCAGCUGGGAGGGACGGAAGCAGGGACCGCCCCGCCCCGGGAGGUGGGGCAGGAGACCGAGGCCGAGACCGAGGUGGAGAGGGACAGUUUUCACGAACGCCCAGACGCCGGGCCGCCUCGGGGGCUGGCCGAGGGCACAAGCCCUUCGCCCACUGCUGUCUGUCUGGGGCGGGAAAGGAAAGGAGUGGAAAGGGCGCGGGGACGCGCGUGUAGGUAGGCUGCGGGAGGAAGGCGCAGGCGUGUGCCCCUGGCGACAGCGCACGCGCGGCUGAGUAGGGGGCUGUGCCCUAAAGGUUUCCCCGACUUGGGCCUGGGGGAAGACGGCGACGCCAGGCUGCCAGGGCCGGCGCGGGGCAGAGGCCGGGCGGGCGCUGCGGGGCCGUGGCUUCCCGGAGGGCGCAAAAGCGUCAGGCACCUCCUUCGAGCCGGAAUCGAACCAGCGACCUAAGGAUGUCCGCGCCUAGCCAGCCUACAGUCCUCCGCUCUACCCGCUGAGCUACCGAAGGGUGCGCGCUCACACGCCUGGGUCGUUAGCGUUUCUCCG
RNAcentral lists this transfer RNA (1350 nucleotides) under Canis lupus dingo (dingo). RNAcentral's name for it is "lncRNA (ENSCAFG00020000009.1)". Lineage: Eukaryota; Metazoa; Chordata; Mammalia; Carnivora; Canidae. The record is from RNAcentral.